GAUGAAGAACGUAGCGAAACGCGAUAAGUAAUGUGAAUUGCAGAAUUCAGUGAAUCAUCGAAUCUUUGAACGCACAUUGCGCCCGCCAGUAUUCUGGCGGGCAUGCCUGUUCGAGCGUCAUUUCAACCAUCAAGCCCCAGGCUUGUGUUGGGGACCUGCGGCUGCCGCAGGCCCUGAAAACCAGUGGCGGGCUCGCUAGUCACACCGAGCGUAGUAGCAUACACAUCGCUCAGGGCGUGCUGCGGGUUCCGGCCGUUAAACCCCUUUUUUACCCAAGGUUGACCUCGGAUCAGGUAGGAAGACCCGCUGAACUUAAGCAUAUCAAUAAGCGGAGGA
Molecule: unclassified non-coding RNA, 336 nt
Filed under: soil metagenome
Description: partial contains 5.8S ribosomal RNA, internal transcribed spacer 2, and large subunit ribosomal RNA
Rfam family: 5.8S ribosomal RNA (bases 1-120)
Source: RNAcentral